GUUUGUAUGUAGUGCAACGGUUUAGCGCGAGCUCCCGUUAAGCGUGAAAUCUGGGUUCAAGUCCCAGCUGACGCAAACG
Molecule: non-coding RNA, 79 nt
Organism: Parelaphostrongylus tenuis
Lineage: Eukaryota; Metazoa; Nematoda; Chromadorea; Rhabditida; Metastrongylidae
Source: the annotation of a GenBank genome assembly